UAUUGGGCCCUACACGGUAGAAGCUUGUGAACCCCGUCAGAUCCGGAAGGAAGCAGCGGCAGCAAGCAGACACGCGUUGUGGUAAAGUCCAGUAUGA
This 97-nucleotide signal recognition particle RNA is filed under the name Mariprofundaceae bacterium. Its description in RNAcentral is "signal recognition particle sRNA small type". It matches the Rfam family "Bacterial small signal recognition particle RNA". From Rfam's summary of the family: The signal recognition particle (SRP) is a universally conserved ribonucleoprotein involved in the co-translational targeting of proteins to membranes. Archaeal SRP consists of a 7S RNA and homologues of the eukaryotic SRP19 and SRP54 proteins. In most bacteria, the SRP consists of a 4.5S RNA and the Ffh protein (a homologue of the eukaryotic SRP54 protein). Lineage: Bacteria; Pseudomonadati; Pseudomonadota; Candidatius Mariprofundia; Mariprofundales; Mariprofundaceae. The record is from RNAcentral.